This 497-nucleotide ribosomal RNA is filed under the name uncultured bacterium. Its description in RNAcentral is "partial 16S ribosomal RNA". It matches the Rfam family "Bacterial small subunit ribosomal RNA", at positions 28 to 507 of the family's 1533-position model. The record is from RNAcentral.
GACGAACGCUGGCGGCGUGCCUAAUACAUGCAAGUUGAGCGCUGAAGGUUGGUACUUGUACCAACUGGAUGAGCAGCGAACGGGUGAGUAACGCGUGGGGAAUCUGCCUUUGAGCGGGGGACAACAUUUGGAAACGAAUGCUAAUACCGCAUAAAAACUUUAAACACAAGUUUUAAGUUUGAAAGAUGCAAUUGCAUCACUCAAAGAUGAUCCCGCGUUGUAUUAGCUAGUUGGUGAGGUAAAGGCUCACCAAGGCGAUGAUACAUAGCCGACCUGAGAGGGUGAUCGGCCACAGUGGGACUGAGACACGGCCCAAACUCCUACGGGAGGCAGCAGUAGGGAAUCUUCGGCAAUGGACGAAAGUCUGACCGAGCAACGCCGCGUGAGUGAAGAAGGGUUUCGGAUCGUAAAACUCUGUUGGUAGAGAAGAACGUUGGUGAGAGUGGGAAGCUCAUCAAGUGACGGUAACUACCCAGAAAGGGACGGCUAACUACGUG